GUGCCCACUUUGGCAGCACAUGUACUAAAAUUUGAACAAUACAGAGAAGAUUAACGUGGUCCCUGCACAAGGGGGACAUGCAAAUUCAUGAAGUCUUCCAUAUUUAA
Small nuclear RNA from Hyaena hyaena (striped hyena), 107 nucleotides. The record is from RefSeq and is a predicted model, not a curated record. Lineage: Eukaryota; Metazoa; Chordata; Mammalia; Carnivora; Hyaenidae.